Molecule: ribosomal RNA, 253 nt
Filed under: uncultured bacterium
Lineage: Bacteria
Description: partial 16S ribosomal RNA
Rfam family: Bacterial small subunit ribosomal RNA
Source: RNAcentral
GACGAAGGUGGCUAGCGUUGUUCGGAAUCACUGGGCUUAAAGAGCACGUAGGCGGCCUGUUAAGCACUUUGUGAAAUCCCUCGGCUUAACCGGGGAAUUGCUUGGUGUACUGGCAGGCUUGAGGCAAGUAAGGGCGCGUGGAACUCUUGGUGGAGCGGUGAAAUGCGUAGAUAUCAAGAGGAACGCCGGAGGCGAAAGCGAUGCGCUGGGCUUGUCCUGACGCUGAGGUGCGAAAGCCAGGGGAGCAAACGGG